Molecule: ribosomal RNA, 430 nt
Filed under: Pseudomonadota bacterium
Lineage: Bacteria; Pseudomonadati; Pseudomonadota
Description: Proteobacteria bacterium partial 16S ribosomal RNA
Rfam family: Bacterial small subunit ribosomal RNA
Source: RNAcentral
UGGGGAAUAUUGGACAAUGGGGGGAACCCUGAUCCAGCCAUGCCGCGUGUGUGAAGAAGGCCUUAUGGUUGUAAAGCACUUUAAGCGAGGAGGAGGGUACUGGUAUUAAUACUACCAGGUACUGGACGUUACUCGCAGAAUAAGCACCGGCUAACUCUGUGCCAGCAGCCGCGGUAAUACAGAGGGUGCAAGCGUUAAUCGGAAUUACUGGGCGUAAAGCGCGCGUAGGUGGUUCGUUAAGUUGAAUGUGAAAGCCCCGGGCUCAACCUGGGAACUGCAUCCAAAACUGGUGAGCUAGAGUAGGGCAGAGGGUGGUGGAAUUUCCUGUGUAGCGGUGAAAUGCGUAGAUAUAGGAAGGAACACCAGUGGCGAAGGCGACCACCUGGGCUCAUACUGACACUGAGGUGCGAAAGCGUGGGGAGCAAACAGG